This 442-nucleotide ribosomal RNA is filed under the name uncultured bacterium. RNAcentral describes it as "partial 16S ribosomal RNA". It matches the Rfam family "Bacterial small subunit ribosomal RNA", at positions 338 to 795 of the family's 1533-position model. The record is from RNAcentral.
CCUACGGGUGGCUGCAGUGGGGAAUAUUGGGCAAUGGGCGCAAGCCUGACCCAGCAACGCCGCGUGAAGGAAGACGGCUUUCGGGUUGUAAACUUCUUUUGUCAGGGAAGAGUAUAAGACGGUGCCUGACGAAUAAGCCACGGCUAACUACAUGCCAGGAGCCGCGGUAAUACGUAGGGGGCAAGCGUUAUCCGGAUUUGCUGGGUGUAAAGGGGGCGCAGACGGCAAUGCAAGCCAGGAGUGAAAGCCCGGGGCCCAACCCCGGGACUGCCGUUGAAACUGAAGGGCUGGAGUACAGGAGGGGCAGGCGGAAUGCCUGGUGUAGCGGUGAAAUGCGUAGAUAUCAGGAGGAACACCGGUGGCGAAGGCGGCCUGCUGGACUGUGACUGACGUUGAGGCCCGAAGGCGUGGGGAGCAAACAGGAUUAGAUACCCCUGUAGUC